UUUACUUCCAGGAUGGCUGGGUGGUCAGAGAUCUUCACUGAACUGACAGGUACCCCUCUGUUCUUUCCUAUUGUGCCCUGAAGUCAGACAUGCAUAUAGUGAUUUCAGUGCAUCACAUCCUUCAGUUCAUUGUGGGCCUGAAAACCUAACACAAAAGGCCAGGAAAAGGAAGGAGCAAUGCCAGUUAUUCCCCAGUGCCAGAACAACUUUGCCUAGGAAAUGAGUGAGGUGAAAACUCUCUGAUGAAGCUGCACUUCCUUCAUCCCUGUGCCAUGAAACUCAGGGAGUGCUGGUGACUGCCCUUUUUGCGUUAUAUAAUGAAAACGUAAGUAUUGCUGUUGUUGUCUGCAACAAAAACGUUUAUGAAGUUUUGCUAUAGCACAUUUCUAUUUUUGCUUUCAAUGUUGGUUUUUUUUCUGUGAAAGCUUCUUGAUUGAACCUUCUUCUCUAAUAAUUUUUUACACAUGAAUUACAGAUCAUUCUAAUUAGCUUUUUAAUUACAGCUAGAGAAAGCUAUUUAGAACACUCCUGACUGUUAGAAACGAGUCCAUGUGGAGAAAAAUAAGAGGUAAUUAGCUUUAAAUGAAAAAUAGCUACUGUCAUUUCCCAGACAAAGGAGAGGGAGACAAUUUCUACGCUUCAUAGCAAAUACAGAAUUGGAUUGGAAAGGACUGUUCAGAGUCCAUGCCUUGAAAUCAUCUGAAAUUUAACUAGUUUUACACCAGGUAUUUACUAUGAUGAUUUUGAAGGCAUUGGUAUUCUAACUGUCUAAAUUCUUAGCAAGUCCAUUGCAACAUCUGGAUAAAGAGCAUCCCAGCUGUGUUAAAUGGAGAUGCUUUUUGUAAGAGUUGGGGACACUGCACUGUGCUAUAACCCAUGGAAUAGUAACAAAUUUUAGGAAUCUUCAAGUCAUCUCAGACCAAGAGCUCUUGCUAUGAAUUUGGUUCUUCUUGCAGAUUGU
Cyanistes caeruleus (blue tit) is the source of this 961-nucleotide long non-coding RNA. Lineage: Eukaryota; Metazoa; Chordata; Aves; Passeriformes; Paridae. The record is from Ensembl.